RNAcentral lists this ribosomal RNA (611 nucleotides) under uncultured bacterium. RNAcentral describes it as "bacterial SSU rRNA". It matches the Rfam family "Bacterial small subunit ribosomal RNA", at positions 8 to 622 of the family's 1533-position model. The record is from RNAcentral.
AGAGUUGAUUAUGGCUCAGGAUGAACGCUGGCGGCGUGCUUAACACAUGCAAGUCGAACGAAGCAUGUAAAACAAUCCUUCGGGUGCGUUUUAUAUGACUGAGUGGCGGACGGGUGAGUAACGCGUGGGGAACCUACCGUAUGCAGGGGGACAACAGUCAGAAAUGACUGCUAAUACCGCAUAAGCACACAAUGCUGCAUGGCAUGGUGUGAAAAGAUUUAUCGGCAUACGAUGGCCCCGCGUCUGAUUAGCCAGUUGGCAGGGUAACGGCCUACCAAAGCAACGAUCAGUAGCCGGCUUGAGAGAGUGACCGGCCACAUUGGGACUGAGACACGGCCCAGACUCCUACGGGAGGCAGCAGUGGGGAAUAUUGCACAAUGGGGGAAACCCUGAUGCAGCGACGCCGCGUGAGUGAUGAAGUAUUUCGGUAUGUAAAGCUCUAUCAGCAGGGAAGAUAAUGACGGUACCUGACUAAGAAGCUCCGGCUAAAUACGUGCCAGCAGCCGCGGUAAUACGUAUGGAGCAAGCGUUAUCCGGAUUUACUGGGUGUAAAGGGAGCGCAGACGGCAAGGCAAGUCUGAAGUGAAAGUCCGGGGCUCAACCCCGGGACU